UGUGAGUUUAAAUAAAUCGUCUAAGGACUACGACUAUAAAGUUAAAACUUAAAGAACAUGGCGGCUUGAGCCAUUCAGGGGAACUUACUUCGUAAACGAUAACCCACGAGUUAAUCAUCCUAUUUAACAAGGCUUAUAUACCGCCGUCUAGUGUCGAAUUAAGUUGGGCGCAAACAGGUCUUCCCUGUAUUACAGGUCAUGGUGUAGCGUAUGGAUAGGGGUCUAGCGAGUUACAAUAAAAAAUUUUUUCGGAUUCUUAGUUUUUAAGUAAGAUGAAGAUGGACUUGAAAGUAAAAAUCAACAAAAUAAAUUUUGGCUUAUUAAACUUAAGUGU
This 334-nucleotide ribosomal RNA is filed under the name Siphonaria sp. UF 303696. RNAcentral's name for it is "partial 12S ribosomal RNA". The record is from RNAcentral. Lineage: Eukaryota; Metazoa; Mollusca; Gastropoda; Siphonariida; Siphonariidae.